This 429-nucleotide ribosomal RNA is filed under the name Pseudomonadota bacterium. RNAcentral's name for it is "Proteobacteria bacterium partial 16S ribosomal RNA". It matches the Rfam family "Bacterial small subunit ribosomal RNA", at positions 355 to 776 of the family's 1533-position model. The record is from RNAcentral. Lineage: Bacteria; Pseudomonadati; Pseudomonadota.
UGGGGAAUAUUGGACAAUGGGCGAAAGCCUGAUCCAGCCAUGCCGCGUGUGUGAAGAAGGUCUUCGGAUUGUAAAGCACUUUAAGUUGGGAGGAAGGGCAGUAAGCGAAUACCUUGCUGUUUUGACGUUACCGACAGAAUAAGCACCGGCUAACUCUGUGCCAGCAGCCGCGGUAAUACAGAGGGUGCAAGCGUUAAUCGGAAUUACUGGGCGUAAAGCGCGCGUAGGUGGUUCGUUAAGUUGAAUGUGAAAGCCCCGGGCUCAACCUGGGAACUGCAUCCUAAACUGGGGAGCUAGAGGAGGGCAGAGGGUGGUGGAAUUUCCUGUGUAGCGGUGAAAUGCGUAGAUAUAGGAAGGAACACCAGUGGCGAAGGCGACCACCUGGGCUCAUACUGACACUGAGGUGCGAAAGCGUGGGGAGCAAACAGG